GUGAGUCAUCGAGUCUUUGAACGCACCUUGCGCUCCUUGGUAUUCCGAGGAGCAUGCCUGUUUGAGUGUCAUUAAAUUCUCAACUCCGAUCGAUUUGUUUCGACCUCGGAGCUUGGAUUUGGAGUGUGCCGGCGUCAAGUCGGCUCCUCUUGAAUGCAUCAGGCGGAAUCCCAUUCAUUUCGGACGUCAGUGUGAUAAUCAUGUUGCGCUGUCUUUGCGAUCUUGAAAGCCCGCUCACAAUGGUCUUCGGACAAACCUCACAUAUCAUAUUUGACCUCAAAUCAGGUAGGACUACCCGCUGAACUUAAGCAUUUCAAUAAGCGGAGG
This 327-nucleotide ribosomal RNA is filed under the name uncultured fungus. RNAcentral's name for it is "eukaryotic LSU rRNA". The stretch from base 1 to 71 matches the Rfam family "5.8S ribosomal RNA", at positions 84 to 154 of the family's 154-position model. Lineage: Eukaryota; Fungi. The record is from RNAcentral.